GAUGAAGAACGUAGUGAAAUGCGAUACGUAGUGUGAAUUGCAGAAUUCAGUGAAUCAUCGAAUCUUUGAACGCACAUUGCACCUCUCGGUAUUCCGGCAGGUAUGCCUGUUCGAGCGUCAUUUGUACCCUCAAGCUCUGCUUGGUGUUGGGUGUUUGUUCCGCCUCUGUGUGUGAACUCGCCUCAAAACAAUUGGCAGCCGGCGUACUUGUUUCGGAGCGCAGCACAUUUUGCGAUCCAGAUCAACGUACAGCGGCAUCCAAGAAGCCUUAUUUAACGCUCUUGACCUCGGAUCAGGUAGGGAUACCCGCUGAACUUAAGCAUAUCAAUAAGCGGAGGA
Molecule: unclassified non-coding RNA, 339 nt
Filed under: soil metagenome
Description: partial contains 5.8S ribosomal RNA, internal transcribed spacer 2, and large subunit ribosomal RNA
Rfam family: 5.8S ribosomal RNA (bases 1-120)
Source: RNAcentral